UUUUUGGCGGUUAAAAAUUAAUUUAGAGGAGCUUGUAUAUAGUAUUAACUCUUUAUAUUUAAUAGAUUAAUGCUUAUUUAUUUCCGUUAUUAGAUUAAGGUCUUAUAAGAAAAUUCUUAAAUUUCAGGUCAAGAUGUAGCAAUAAUUUAGAAGUAUUAGCUACAAUUAUGAAAUAAAUGGAUUUUAUUUUUAAAAUGUAAAUGAAAUUGAAUUUAGUUGUAAUAUAUUUUAGAAAAAAAAUAUGAAGGGGAAGUAUUUAAUGUAUAUAUUGCCCGUCACUUCUCUUAUGAGAGAGAAUAAGUCGUAACAAAGUAA
This 315-nucleotide ribosomal RNA is filed under the name Cosmetidae sp. MZSP 73167. RNAcentral's name for it is "partial small subunit ribosomal RNA". Lineage: Eukaryota; Metazoa; Arthropoda; Arachnida; Opiliones; Cosmetidae. The record is from RNAcentral.